This 440-nucleotide ribosomal RNA is filed under the name uncultured bacterium. RNAcentral describes it as "partial 16S ribosomal RNA". It matches the Rfam family "Bacterial small subunit ribosomal RNA", at positions 338 to 795 of the family's 1533-position model. The record is from RNAcentral.
CCUACGGGAGGCAGCAGUGGGGAAUAUUGCACAAUGGGGGAAACCCUGAUGCAGCGACGCCGCGUGAGUGAAGAAGUAUUUCGGUAUGUAAAGCUCUAUCAGCAGGAACGAGACACGACGGUACCUGACUAAGAAGCCCCGGCUAACUACGUGCCAGCAGCCGCGGUAAUACGUAGGGGGCAAGCGUUAUCCGGAAUCACUGGGUGUAAAGGGAGCGUAGACGGCUGUGCAAGCCUGAAGUGAAAGGCGGGGCCCAAACCCUGGACUGCUGUGGGAACUGGACGGCUGGAGUGCAGGAGAGGUAAGUGGAAUUCCUAGUGUAGCGGUGAAAUGCGUAGAUAUUAGGAGGAACACCAGUGGCGAAGGCGGCUUACUGGACUGUAACUGACGUUGAGGCUCGAAGGCGUGGGGAGCAAACAGGAUUAGAUACCCCUGUAGUC